RNAcentral lists this ribosomal RNA (473 nucleotides) under uncultured bacterium. RNAcentral describes it as "bacterial SSU rRNA". It matches the Rfam family "Bacterial small subunit ribosomal RNA", at positions 28 to 521 of the family's 1533-position model. The record is from RNAcentral.
GAUGAACGCUAGCGGUGUGCCUAAUGCAUGCAAGUCGAACGGGAUCCUUUGGAUUCGUCUGAAGGUGAGAGUGGCGAACGGGUGAGUAACACGUAGGUGACCUGCCCCGGAGAGGGGGACAACCACUGGAAACGGUGGCUAAUACCCCAGAUGUUAUUGCGCUUAGAAAGCAAUUACUAAAGUUCCGGCGCUCCGGGAGGGGCCUGCGGCCCAUCAGCUUGUUGGUAAGGUAAUGGCUUACCAAGGCUAAGACGGGUAGGGGGCGUGAGAGCGUGACCCCCCACACUGGUACUGAGACACGGACCAGAUACCUGCGGGUAGCAGCAGCAAGGAAUAUUGCCCAAUGGACGAAAGUCUGAGGCAGCAACACCGCGUGGAGGAUGAAGGCCUUCGGUUGUAAACGUCCUUUCUGGGGAGAGAAGGACGGUACCCAGGAAUAAGUACUCGGCUAACUACGUGCCAGCAGCCGCGGU